GCAUGAAUGCAGGCCCCCACUACCACAAAUGAUGCAGUCGAGUUUCCCACAUUUGGGGAAAUCGCAGGGGUCAGCGCAUCUGGAGCACAAUGGAAAAGCCAAAUCAGAAGAGCA
This is a long non-coding RNA of Myotis davidii, 114 nucleotides long. RefSeq lists it as uncharacterized. Lineage: Eukaryota; Metazoa; Chordata; Mammalia; Chiroptera; Vespertilionidae. The transcript is spliced from 4 exons. The record is from RefSeq and is a predicted model, not a curated record.